RNAcentral lists this ribosomal RNA (253 nucleotides) under uncultured Acidithiobacillus sp. RNAcentral describes it as "partial 16S ribosomal RNA". It matches the Rfam family "Bacterial small subunit ribosomal RNA", at positions 524 to 776 of the family's 1533-position model. Lineage: Bacteria; Pseudomonadati; Pseudomonadota; Acidithiobacillia; Acidithiobacillales; Acidithiobacillaceae. The record is from RNAcentral.
UACGGGGGGUGCAAGCGUUAAUCGGAAUCACUGGGCGUAAAGGGUGCGUAGGCGGUACGUUAGGUCUGUCGUGAAAUCCCCGGGCUCAACCUGGGAAUGGCGGUAGAAACCGGCGCACUAGAGUAUGGGAGAGGGUGGUGGAAUUCCAGGUGUAGCGGUGAAAUGCGUAGAGAUCAGAAAGAAGGCCGGUGGCGAAGGCGGCCACCUGGCCCAAUACUGACGCUGAGGCACGAAAGCGUGGGGAGCAAACAGG